RNAcentral lists this ribosomal RNA (202 nucleotides) under Pleosporales sp. RNAcentral describes it as "partial large subunit ribosomal RNA". Lineage: Eukaryota; Fungi; Ascomycota; Dothideomycetes; Pleosporales. The record is from RNAcentral.
AAGCGCUUGCAGCCAGACUUGCCUGUAGUUGCUUACCUAGACUUUUGUCUGGGGUACUCUUCUGCAGGCAGGCCAGCAUCAGUUUGGGCGGUUGGAUAAAGGUCUCUGUCACGUACCUCCUUUCGGGGAGUGUUAUAGCCCACCGUGUAAUACCCUGGGGGGGACUGAGGUUCGCGCAUCUGCAAGGAUGCUGGCGUAAUGG